GAUGUAUGCUUAAUACAUAACUUCUUUGUAUAAAUUUAAUUAUUCUAAUUUUGCAUUAUAUUAAAGCUAAUUUAAGGUUAAAUGCCUCCAUUUUCGAUAUAAUUUUAAUAAUUCCAAUUUCUAUAUACUAUUUUAUAACUUAAUUUGGAUACAAUUUAAGCAUAAGUGUAAUACCCUAAUUUUUCCCAGCCCAAAUCAAAUAAAUAAACAAAAUAUAUAAAAAAACAAAAAAAAAUUAUUAAGAGUUCAUCAGUCCAGCAAACCCAAAAUACAAGCUAAGUCCAUUUACAGAUAGUCCAUUUACAGAUAGCCCAAUAACCCAAACAGAUCCCAAAUACCCACUUAACCUAGCCCAAACCAAA
This 362-nucleotide long non-coding RNA is filed under the name Gossypium raimondii (Peruvian cotton). RNAcentral's name for it is "long non-coding RNA (GRAI_LNC001154)". Lineage: Eukaryota; Viridiplantae; Streptophyta; Magnoliopsida; Malvales; Malvaceae. The record is from RNAcentral.